AGAGGGGGAUAACAUUCUGAAAAGAAUGCUAAUACCGCAUGACAUAUCGGAACCACAUGGUUCUGAUAUCAAAGAUUUUAUCGCUUGAAGAUGGACUCGCGUCCGAUUAGUUAGUUGGUGAGGUAACGGCUCACCAAGACCGCGAUCGGUAGCCGGACUGAGAGGUUGAACGGCCACAUUGGGACUGAGACACGGCCCAGACUCCUACGGGAGGCAGCAGUGGGGGAUAUUGCGCAAUGGGGGCAACCCUGACGCAGCAACGCCGCGUGAAGGAUGAAGGUUUUCGGAUUGUAAACUUCUUUUAUUAAGGACGAAAAAUGACGGUACUUAAUGAAUAAGCUCCGGCUAACUACGUGCCAGCAGCCGCGGUAAUACGUAGGGAGCAAGCGUUGUCCGGAUUUACUGGGUGUAAAGGGUGCGUAGGCGGCUUUGCAAGUCAGAUGUGAAAUCUAUGGGCUCAACCCAUAAACUGCAUUUGAAACUGUAGAGCUUGAGUGAAGUAGAGGCAGGCGGAAUUCCCCGUGUAGCGGUGAAAUGCGUAGAGAUGGGGAGGAACACCAGUGGCGAAGGCGGCCUGCUGGGCUUUAACUGACGCUGAGGCACGAAAGCGCGGGUAGCAAACAGGGUUAGAUACCCUGGUAGUCCACGCUGUAAACGA
RNAcentral lists this ribosomal RNA (658 nucleotides) under uncultured bacterium. Its description in RNAcentral is "bacterial SSU rRNA". It matches the Rfam family "Bacterial small subunit ribosomal RNA", at positions 135 to 809 of the family's 1533-position model. The record is from RNAcentral.